This 215-nucleotide long non-coding RNA is filed under the name Capsella rubella. RNAcentral's name for it is "long non-coding RNA (CRUB_LNC003265)". The record is from RNAcentral. Lineage: Eukaryota; Viridiplantae; Streptophyta; Magnoliopsida; Brassicales; Brassicaceae.
UUUUUUUUAUUGUUUGUUUCGUUAAGGUCACGUUUAUUUUUUCUAUGAAUACGUAGAGAGAGAGAGAGAGAGAAGAGUAUGUGUUUGGUUCAUGUGGAUAACUAUGAUUAAAGGACUAAUGUUGAAUGAGAUUCGAAUUACGAGGAGCAUAAAGUGUUAGGGAACUUAUGAUUAAGGUCAUUGUCUGAGAAAUCUAUCUUUCAUUUUAAUUACAA